GGAAGAGAGAGAGUCAGAAAGCUUGAUGCUUGAUGUCAAAUUAAAAUGUUUUAUUAUUGGAAUCAGGGCAGAAUGGAUUUAAACUAGUCUGAUUUAUUCACUCCCUAAAUUCUCAAUUUGCUGAAUGAGAAGAUCCAAUUCUGAUGAUUUCAUAAAAUGAUUGCUGAAAUGGUAAUUACUGGUCUUUUGUUACCAGACAGUUAAAACUCUUUUGUAAUCAGGUGAUGAAGCUAAAGCUUCUUCAAGAAUUGGUUCGAUGACUAUGAUACAUUUUCCCUUCUGAUUUAACCGAGAUAGGAACCAACUGAUUCCCUCUACAGCCACAUUCAUCCAUUGAUGCUCAUCGGUGUAAUCAUCAAUCUACAAAAAACAAGCUUUUACAAGAAAUAUUGCAGCUAUCGCACAAAUAAUAAAGAAAAUAGACAUCGCUCCGAAAACAAUAACUGUGGGAUCGUUUCUACCGAUGGGAACUUAAUCAUAUUUAUUAAGUAAUUUGAAUUAUAAACUAAAGAUUUACUGCGGUUCCUUACAGAUGAUUUGUGUGCUGUUACUUGAUCUGGUACACGGAAGGUACGUCACAGAAAAAGGAUGAAUACAUCUUGGAUCGACUGGGGUAACCUGGUGUAUGAGGAAACUAGCUUGAGUCAAACUGGCUUGCCUGUGGCAAUGUUGUUAAACUCUCACAGAUAGAAAAACUUUGUCUAGUAAAGCUGGUCCAUUGACAUUCCGUUUUAAACCCUACUGUUUGGUAAAGGAGGAAAGUAUAUAACGAGGAUGCUUGUUCGCAUGCCCUCUCUAUUUUCAAUGUGUGGCCGUUAUAUUCAGCGAUUGCGUUACAAUUCGGUAAUUCCCAGAAUACCUGUGUGCCUCCUGCCAACUAAACAACAAAUAAGAAGGAACAGAAUAUCAGUAAACGCAUUUUUUAAACAAAUUAUUGUGUUGCGACGACCUUGAUUACGCAGACAAACGCAAGAAUAGAAAGAGUGACCAUUUCAUGGUUUCACCUCAAUAUACGAAACUGAUUUUUAUUUUCCACCAUUUAAAUCUGUACUCACAGGUAACACGAAUACUAUACACACUAACAGGCUUUAGCAAUUUACUUCACUCUUCACAGAUAACGCAAUCACUUAACCAAAAGCGAGAUAAGAUAUGAAAUGAGGCGUUUAACCUUGCAUACAAUGCAUACGUAUAUCUGCCGUGAACAGGAAAAUUUUUACUUAAUUUCGAAAUGGAUUGUUAUCUUAGUGGAAAGGCUAAACUGUCCUUCAGUGAUCACAUAUUUCAAUCCUUGAUUUUGUUCGCUAUGAAAAUAUUGAUGUCACAAUAGUAGUAGGGAGCAGUAGCAAUGGGAUUUUGUUUUAAGCAUAUCCAGAGUUUAUUUUCAAUAAGGCAUAACUAAUACAAUAAUCAUAAGCUCGAAACAUAAUGUAAUGCACUGAUGUGAUUAACAUUUUAUCCAACAUUGUUUCUCUGUUCUUGAUAAUAUCUUUUUAAGUGGAAUUUUUCAAAUAGAAUCGCGGAUCCAACGGAAUACAACAUACGAGCGACACAUAAGAAACCAUAUAAUUGCAGGUAAGUAUUUUUUUUUUAACCAACAGAACGGUUCAUUGCGUUUUUUUUAAAUUAUUAUUUAGGUAUAAUGGGAAAAUGGAUUUUAAAAAAAGUAAUGGUUUCUCGGUAAUGGAAUUUUUUGGGUUGCCCCUCCUACUUUUGGCCAGUUAUCCCAAUUGAGUUUUCUGCAGUUUAAUUAUUGCGUUGCAUAUUUGUAAACUAAGAGGAUCUAUCUAUGCUCUUAAGUUUAAAUUGGUGCUCUCCUACUUUCUCAUAUCUAUAAGCAGAGGGACUGUUUGGAAAUAUUUUUGAGUAAGGUCUUCUUUCUAUGUAAACAGUUUUGUCUCUUUCACUAAAUCUUACCCUUUUCUUCCCGUAAGAACCAUCACGUGAGCGACCAAGAUUUAAGAUCGAAGAGUUUAAGGCGCGGUUGGCUGUAGCACUGGCUGUAGGUUGUCGUGUAGGUUGUUUCUCAGUUCCUUUCUCGGUACCUGUAAACGCGAAAAUUUGAUUGACCGCUAUUUUUUAUCGUAAAUUAGAUAGUCUUAAAUUACCUCUAGCUACUCGAUUAACCACUGGCUUGAAGGAAGGAGUAAUGUCGUUUGAUGCACUUGCAGAAUUUGUGAGUAGUUCGGCGUCUUCAGACGGAUGUUUUCCUUUAGACGAAUCAGUCUUCGACCCAGAAUCUAUGGUUUUCGUCGCUUUGCGAGGAAUAACAUAAUUUGAGGACCAUGCUGCGUUGGGGGUUUCUUUCUUUUCUUUGAUGGAUUGGUUUUUGCUUUUCAUCAAAUCAGCAGCCAACUUGUCAUUACGAGAUGUGGCGGUUGAUUUUGCCUAAAUAAUGACAUCACGAUUAAAACAUACCGAACGAGA
This is a long non-coding RNA of Daphnia pulicaria, 2424 nucleotides long. RefSeq lists it as uncharacterized. NCBI's taxonomy places the organism in Eukaryota, Metazoa, Arthropoda, Branchiopoda, Diplostraca, Daphniidae. The transcript is spliced from 5 exons. The record is from RefSeq and is a predicted model, not a curated record.